Molecule: long non-coding RNA, 1773 nt
Filed under: Citrus maxima (pomelo)
Lineage: Eukaryota; Viridiplantae; Streptophyta; Magnoliopsida; Sapindales; Rutaceae
Description: long non-coding RNA (CMAX_LNC001991)
Source: RNAcentral
UCAAGAAUUGAUAAUGGGAUUUGCUCAAGUAAAACAAGGAUAUAAAGUAUCUAAAAAGAAUAUUUGAGUAUUCCAAAUCACAUGCCUUUGAUCAAGUUCACAAUAAGUCUGCAUGAUUUUAUAUACAAGGACGGAUUUACAAAAAAUUUAAAUCUAAUGUCUACUUGAGUUGUAAUAAAUUUUUAAAGUUUUCAGGGCAUGCCCAGUUUUGUUAAGUAAAAUAUCGGACCAAAAUUAAAUAUAAAUAUAUUUACUAAAUAUUUUAGUUGUUGUACGUUUAAAAUUAAGUAAAAUUAUGAUAUUAUGGCUUACAAAAUUAGAGUAAAAUUACCUCAAACAAAAUCUCAAAGGACUUAGCUAUGGUGUAACUGUGGUACCAUACUACAACUGCACCUAGUCAUUAGAUUUUUCACGAAUCCAAAGGCUAGGUGCAAAUUGUGAUAUGGUAUCACAAUUACACUGUAACUGGACCCCAUCUCAAAUCUACACAAUCCAAAUUUUCUAUGACAUAAUAUUAGUGCGUAAAAAUUGAAAAAUAAAAUGAAACGUAAUAUACGACAAUUAUUGAAAGGUUAUGCUUGCUCACCCAACACAAAUCCCCUUUAACAGUUCGAAAUUCCAUCCAGAUUAUGGAUCCUUGACUUCAAAAAAUUGAAAAAAAAAAUCCCAAUCAAAUUCAAAAUCUGCUAAUCAUAGAGCAAAAAUUAGACUUUGAUUAGGUUACUUAAAUAGAGCAAAUUAUAAUAAUAUUAUAAAGCAUAGCAUUUUUGAAAUUUUAAGUAUGUUUAAGAAAAAAAUGCAGAACUGAAGGCAUCUGACAAGAUUCUGAUUUUGACUGACGCUCCUGAGGAGAGAGAUUGCAGUCAUCACAAUUAAUGCAUGCAGAAACUGCUUUAAUAUUUUGAACCAGCCCUGUCCACCAGAUUAGAUUAGCAAGCACCAGUGCCCCAACACAACAUAAAGUUAAAGUGUUAAACCACACCCCCCACACACACACCAAAAAAAAAUAAAAAAAAAAUUCCUUAACAAAUCACAAUCACAUAAUUGAAAAAAAAAAAAAAGAGAAAAGAAGAAGCAUAUUCACAAAGAAAAAGGAUAAUUCACAAUCACAUGAUCCUCUAGCUCAUUUCUCUUAGCAAACAGAAGGAAUCAGAGAAUUCAGAAUCUUACAAAUCCCUUCUAGGCAAAAUUAAAGCAGAUGAUGAAUUGAUGAUGAUGAUGAAAGAAGCCUUUUUUUUUAAAAAAAAAAAAACUUCUUUUCCCCCAUAUACAUCAUCAAUGAUACAAUUCCAAGCGCCUAGAGCAUAAACUACAAAAAUACUUCUUUUUAAUCUUGUAGCAGAUGGGCAAGAAGCAGAACCUGCACUGACUCUCGAAAUCAAUGGCUAAAACUUUGCCUCCACAGUACGGACAUGAACCUGGAGCUUGUUGCCUCCCCAGCUCCCUCUCUUCUUCUGAGCAGACGUACACUAAACACAUUUUCUUCCUCCUUUAUCUGAUCUCUCGGGACUAAUUAUUAUUUGGGUUAGGCUAAUGGGUGUUCUUUUCUCUUCUCUCUAUUAUUAUUAUUAUUAUUAUUUUAUAUUUUUUGAGUGUUUCGGUGGGGAAAAUGUAAACAGAGCAAACUGAAGGCUCUCGAAAUGAUGUUGUGUCCAGACAGCAUUUAUAUAGAACACCAUACGGGUUGGUUGGAGACAAAUAUCAAAUAUUACCGGGUUACUUUUUACUUUUAAUAUUUACCAUUGCGAAAAAAAAAUUUAAGGUGAAAUAAUC